This 422-nucleotide ribosomal RNA is filed under the name uncultured Lachnospiraceae bacterium. Its description in RNAcentral is "bacterial SSU rRNA". It matches the Rfam family "Bacterial small subunit ribosomal RNA", at positions 355 to 794 of the family's 1533-position model. The record is from RNAcentral. Lineage: Bacteria; Bacillati; Bacillota; Clostridia; Lachnospirales; Lachnospiraceae.
UGGGGGAUAUUGCACAAUGGAGGAAACUCUGAUGCAGCGACGCCGCGUGAGUGAAGAAGUAUUUCGGUAUGUAAAGCUCUAUCAGCAGGGAAGAAAAUGACGGUACCUGACUAAGAAGCCCCGGCUAACUACGUGCCAGCAGCCGCGGUAAUACGUAGGGGGCAAGCGUUAUCCGGAUUUACUGGGUGUAAAGGGAGCGUAGACGGCGAUGCAAGUCUGAAGUGAAAUACCCGGGCUCAACCCGCGGACUGCUUUUGAAACUGUCAUGCUGGAGUCCAGGAGAGGUAAGCGGAAUUCCUAGUGUAGCGGUGAAAUGCGUAGAUAUUAGGAGGAACACCAGUGGCGAAGGCGGCUUACUGGACUGGUACUGACACUGAGGCACGAAAGCGUGGGGAGCAAACAGGAUUAGAUACCCUAGUAGU